CUUUUACAUUGUCAGAUCACAGAUGCUAUGUUUUAUGCCACAAAAUGAAGAUAAAACUUAUUGAACAACAAUACAUGCUCAAUGUGAUCUUAAAUGUCAACUAGAUGGGAUAGUUGUCACUUGUCACAUUCUUUCACUAACGGAUCUUGGCUCAUCUCAGUUAAACCAAAAUGUACAUUAUUCAUGCCUACAUAAAUUUAACAAGUAAAAAAAACCCAAGCUAAAAGCAGCUUUAACCAAAAAUUUUUGCAUAUCUGCAAAUGAUAAACCAUCAAUAUUGCAAGAUGCCAGGAAUAUUUCCCAGUUCAAUAGACCUGACAAAAGAAUUUCUUUAAGUUGCCUAGGAUUCAUAAUGAAGAUCAAUGUAUUGAGCAGCUUCAUGAUCUUCAAUCAAAUUCUUGCAUGAAAUUUAGGAUAGGAAGUUGAUCAGAAAACGUAUAUUUCUUACACUACAGAAUCGCUAUCUCCGGCUUCUUUUUGGCCUUAGUCUCUUGAAAGCCAUAAAUGUAACAGCAGCAGAUAGAGAAUACCUACUCAAAAUACAACCAAUAUCAGAAGGAAUUGUAUUUGCUUCAUAAAUCAUCUGAAUCUUUUGAGUGAAUUUUAUCUCGUUCUUUCGAUUUGCCAAUGCAUGCCAUGAAAAUCACUCUAUACAUUUGGGUAAUUAAAGAAAAUGUUCGUAAUGCCAUACAAUAAGUACACCAAUCCCAUUUUGAUGAAAAUGGGUUUGGACACCAGGUGUAUGGUAUGAUGCCCUCGAACUUUGUCAACUAAACUAAGACACCUUGGAUAUAUGUUAUGACAAAAGAAUGGCAUGCUUCAAGGAUAAACCUAAUCAUAGAUUAGCUCUAAGAAAACAGUACAUCAAUGCUACCCUAAGUCCAAUCAGAAAUUAGGAAUGUUUUCUAAUCUUUAGAGUCCAAAGCAACAUAAAAUGUACAGAUCAAGGAAUAAAACAUGCAGAAGGAAGAAAUUAGAUUACUGUCAAAGCAAUUGCUUAAAUGUGUAAACAAAGAUAUCAAGUGACAGAACUAGCAUACCAUGUCAAUGUAUAAUUUAGAUGGUCUUGUGGCAUGACUGAACUGCGUAUCAAGGUAUUGACAUCCUUUGGAAGAGGGUAUGGGCAUGCUGAACUAACAUUUUCAUUGAUGUCUUCCACAUAGAGAGUAUUCUCAGGAAGCUCACAAGCUCGAGCGAUUGCUGGAACAUCAACAUAGAACCACUGGCCAGAGCUUGAAGCAUUUUCUGGAACAAAAAUGCUAGGCUUUUCACUCCCUCGAACCACUCCAACAACUUCUACAGGAGUGACAGCUGGGAUUUGAUCCUCAAUAACUUUUCGCUUCUUGGACCAAAACCUCCACCAUGAGCUUCGUUCGCUCUCUUGAGAAGAUGAGGAUUUUAUAUCUGAAGGUGGUUCAACAUGUUGUGAAAUUUCCAAGGAUCUUUCCUUCCAAAUACGAGGGACCCAUCCUCUAUUCACCAGAAUUGGUGACUGCACACUCUCAGGGUUGUUGGGGAUUGGCAUUAGCGGUGUAAUGACAUAGUAACCAUUUUCAGUCACUCCAGAUAUGCUUCUAGAACGUGGACCCACAUAGAUUGAUCUCUUCUCAUCAAAAAAACCUUUGCAUGCCACUCUCCUGAACUCCAAAGUAUCCAAUAGCUCACUUGAUGGCGAUAAGUCAUUGAAAUUCACAGGUUCAAUUUCCAAUCUCUUUUGUCUAUAAUCCAGCAUUUUAAUCUUUUCUUCCCUUCUGAAAAUCUGCCAAGUUCCAAGGCCAAAAGUGAUAGCUCCAGGUAGAAAUAGCAACCAUUUGGACCAUCUCGAGCCUCUCUCUUUUUCUUGCAAAUCACUUCCUUGAGGUUGAGGAGAGGAAGUGGAAGGUGUUUCGGAGACAGAAGAGGAGACGGCAGCGGCUGAGCUGCAAAACAACGAAGAUGAAGGAGCCCAAUGCUUUGGAAGGGAAGAAAUGGUCCCAAUUCCACCUGUACCACCAACACUAACACCAGUACUGACCGUUCUUAGGGCUUUGGAAAUGGAAGCUAGUGAUGCCAUCUUCACUCGGACAUCUGAUUAUUCUUGCUGGAGAAAGCAAUUGCACUAGCUCUUUCAGGGUUUAUGAUCUCAUGGCAUGGGGUUUUAAUUCAAAAUGGGCUCCAACAGAAUUGGGACUCGGAUAUCACUUUGGAGGCCCAAUUUAGCCCAAAAAUUUGGGUUUUACUCAACAAAUCAGAACCCAAUAUGGAAAAUUUAAAAACUAGGGUUUUACUUUGGGCAUAAACCCAUCUCCAGCUCUCCUGUAUAUAAUAAGCUGCAAAGCCCCAACCUUUCUUUGUUGGAGCAGCUCCUCUGCCUCUGAAAGAUUCUGC
Molecule: unclassified non-coding RNA, 2367 nt
Filed under: Hevea brasiliensis (rubber tree)
Lineage: Eukaryota; Viridiplantae; Streptophyta; Magnoliopsida; Malpighiales; Euphorbiaceae
Source: RNAcentral